Non-coding RNA from Araneus ventricosus, 78 nucleotides. The record is from the annotation of a GenBank genome assembly. Lineage: Eukaryota; Metazoa; Arthropoda; Arachnida; Araneae; Araneidae.
AACCCCGUGGCUCAGUUGAUAGAGCAGUAGGCUGGAAAUCUACUUCUCCGUGGUUCGAAUUCCAGCUACGCUGGUUUA